GACAGAAUAGGACAGUUGGUAGUCUAGCAGAUUUCGGGAAUUCAGUCUGAUCGUGUCAGUGGUUCGAGUCCACUUUCUGCCCC
RNAcentral lists this transfer RNA (83 nucleotides) under Phocaeicola massiliensis. Its description in RNAcentral is "tRNA-Pro". Lineage: Bacteria; Pseudomonadati; Bacteroidota; Bacteroidia; Bacteroidales; Bacteroidaceae. The record is from RNAcentral.